Long non-coding RNA from Mustela putorius furo (domestic ferret), 2137 nucleotides. The record is from Ensembl. Lineage: Eukaryota; Metazoa; Chordata; Mammalia; Carnivora; Mustelidae.
UUUUCAUGUAAAUAUAGUCACGCAUCAGAACAGUUCAUGUAUCUUGACUGUUUAAAAAGUGGUCAUAUAAAUACGCUUAUUCUUAUUUUUUUUCUAAUUCUCAAGAAUCAUUUCCCUUGUGUAACAGUUUCCCAUCCUUUUUGUUUUCUAGAUUAUGUUUGUUUUGUUUUUUCAUCCACUAUACUUUAUGAGAGGCCAGUGUCUGGCACAUGUAGCACAUACUGAUUAAUUCUUAUUGCAUAACAUUUUGCCUAGAAAUUCCAUGGCUUAAAACAAUAAUCAUUUGUAACUGUUCAUGCCUCUUUAAAGGCUGGUGGAAGCUCAGCUGGUGCACACUGAGUUCAGUUUUGUGGUUUUGCCUUUCACUCUGUGCCGGUCCAUCGGAUGCCGGGGGCAGCUCUGUUCCAGGCUGUGGAGACCACGACGGUGGAGACCAGGAUGGUCUUUUUCUUUUAUCCUGUUCCUGGGACUAGAGUACCACCUGAGGUAUGUUCUUCUCAUAAGAAUGGCAAAAAUUUUAGAGAGCAAGUGGAAACACAGGAGGAUAUUAUGUUCUUGGCUCAGAAAUUACAUACUUCUACCUACAUGCCACUGGUCAAAAUGGGUUCCAAGCGGACCCCAAGUCAAGCAAUGGAGAAGUCCACUCCGUCUUCCUUCAGGCCACACAAAGGUAUGGAUGCAAAAAGAAGACUGGAGUUGGGAUCGAGAGACAGAGAGAGCACAAGCUGCCGGGAGAAGAAGAGAGAAUCUGAGGCCGACUCCGCUGCACUGAGUGCAGAGCCUGACGUGGGGGCUCAAUCCCAUCGCUGCGAGAUCAUAACCUCAACUGAAAUCAUCCAAGCACCCCAAUAUUUGUCUUUUAAAAAGGACUUUCAAUGUUUUUUGCAGUCAUAUUGAGUGGGCUUUAAGCACUAAGGCAGGGUUUGUAGGAAUGAUUGUUCCUACAAAUGUGGGGUUCUCAGAUCCCCUCAGAAACUACUGCACAAACAACUUUGUGAACACCAGCCUCUGGAACAGUUUCUGAACUUACUGUCUUAGAAUGUAAUAUUUAUCAAAUGUGAGAAUAUUUUGGGUAAUAUUAUCUGAUCAGGACUGCUACAUAUUAUUUUAUUGUGGAGGGGCAUUUAAUUCCAAAAAUUUUUAUUAAUUACUUUGCCUGAGGUCAUACUUCUGGUGAGCAUCGGAUUUGGGUUUGAACUCGCACACUAGCUCAGGCCUCCGUCAUUGGGGUUAAUGUUGGAUGAGCCUAAUAAAGGUUCGGUUUCAAAGAUAAUUUUGUGUCUGCGUAUAACAAAAACAACAAACAUAUGAACUAAAUUUCUGCAAAAUGGCUUUAACUAUGAGGUGAUUACUUUCUAAGUGGUGUUAUUUUGCUUACAUGUAGAGGCUUUUUUUUUUUUCAAAGAUAAUUAUUCCUCCAUAAUUUCCUCCGACAAACAAUGUUAGGGUUGGGCAUAGACAGAAGCAAGUUUUACAGAAAUACAAUGUGUAGGUUUAUCACAUGACAGUGUAACAUUUUUGCAUUUUAAUUUGUAAAUGAAAAAAAAUCUCCUAUUAACAAUGGCCUCAUAUCUUGGAAAGGAAGCUUUAUAAAAUAAUUAAAAACCUGUUUUUAGAAUAUGUACGCUAUUCAAACUGAUCAAAACCACAAACAAAAUCUGAUACCUUUAAUAAAAGUAUAUUUGUAAGAUAUUUUAACUUUAUCAUUAAGAUUUGUUUGUAAAGAGACCACCAUUUACUAUAUAUUCUUACUUUUAACUUAUAGUCACUGAUGUACAUGUAAACUUAGAGAGGCUUUUAUAAAUAUGUCAAAACUAGCCAGACAUAAUCCAAAACACAAACCAGAGCCAAACACAAUAUUCACCGUAAUCAAAGCCAGUGCACAGGGAGAACUCGUUUGUAGAUUGUAUGUUUGCUUAUUAGGUUUUGAAAAAUACAGCAAUGUCCUACCAACAGAAAUAAUUUAGGUACCUGGAUAUAUCGGACUACAUUUUUGAAAAAGAUAUUUAUAUCAGUACUGUCUUCUGGAGGUGUAUUAAGAAUGUAAUUAUUCUUUCAAUUAAUUCAUUCUAACUAACAAACUGCUUAGAAAUUAAAGCAGGGAAAAUAAUCUUUUUGCUGACUCUAUAAAUAGAAA